This 415-nucleotide ribosomal RNA is filed under the name uncultured Russulaceae. RNAcentral's name for it is "eukaryotic LSU rRNA". The stretch from base 44 to 199 matches the Rfam family "5.8S ribosomal RNA". Lineage: Eukaryota; Fungi; Basidiomycota; Agaricomycetes; Russulales; Russulaceae. The record is from RNAcentral.
GUAGAAUGACCUCUAUGUAGUGCCGUUAACCCGCAAUCAAUACAACUUUCNNCAACGGAUCUCUUGUUUCUCCCAUCNAUGAAGAACACAGCGAAAUGCUAUACAGUAAUGUGAAUUGCAGAAUUACAUUGAAUCAUCNAAUCUUUGAACGCACCUUGCUCCCCUUGUUAUUCCGAGGAGCACACCCGUUUGAGUGUCGUGAAAACCUCCACCUCCUUGGUUUCUUCUGGAUACCAAAUCAUGCUUGNACUUUGNAGGCCUUUGCUGGCACCUCUCUUUUUGAAGGCCAUCUCCUCUUAAACUAUAGAUUAGCAGGGUCCUGCUUUGCUGAUCCUCCACGUGUGAUAUAGAUGUUUCCAUGUCUUGAGUUUCAUGGCUCUGCUACACCUUUGCGUGUACCUAGCAUUCUAUACUG